AGCGAACGCUGGCGGCAGGCUUAACACAUGCAAGUCGAAGGUGAAGCUAGAGCUUGCUCUAGUGGAAACUGGCGGACGGGUGAGUAACGCGUAGGGAUGUGCCUUUGAGUACGGAAUAACCGUUGGAAACGGCGGCUAAUACCGUAUACGCCCCCACGGGGGAAAGCUCCGGCGCUCAAAGAGCAACCUGCGUCCGAUUAGCUUGUUGGUGAGGUAAUGGCUCACCAAGGCUGCGAUCGGUAGCUGGUCUGAGAGGAUGGUCAGCCACACUGGGACUGAGACACGGCCCAGACUCCUACGGGAGGCAGCAGUGGGGAAUAUUGGACAAUGGGGGCAACCCUGAUCCAGCCAUGCCGCGUGAGUGAAGAAGGCCUUAGGGUUGUAAAGCUCUUUCAGCAGGGAAGAUGAUGACGGUACCUGCAGAAGAAGCCCCGGCUAACUCCGUG
This 446-nucleotide ribosomal RNA is filed under the name uncultured bacterium. RNAcentral's name for it is "bacterial SSU rRNA". It matches the Rfam family "Bacterial small subunit ribosomal RNA", at positions 29 to 507 of the family's 1533-position model. The record is from RNAcentral.